CUAACAGCCGUAUUCAUAAAAAAUCCUUAAAUGAGGAAUGAUCAGCUUAUUAGCUAAUCCACUGUUUAGGCUUAAUAAGCCGUUGAUAAGAACCAUGAUUUAUAAACGUUUAUUAGGGGUUUCUUAACUAAUAAGCAGAUUAGACCCGUUAUGUUGGCAUCUUGGCACAUCAUAGACAAAAAUAUGGCUGAACAUUAAUUAAAAAAAAAAGUUUGACAGCAGCACUAGCGGUAAAUCAUAAAAUCCUGAACAAUACGAUGCACAAUUUUGACCAGUUUUCUGGGUUAUUAUAUAUUAAAAUAGCCUCUGCAUCACAAAAACAAAUAAAUAAUAUUGCACGGCCGGAAGUUUUACGAAACUCGUUUCAAUAUAUUGUGGAAUGAGGGAAAGAGGGCAGUUGCACAUCUCAAGUCAAGAAUUCUGCCUGCGCGCCAUCGCCACCGUAAUACCACGGAUUCCAACACAUUUUGUUCUGGUGGCGAAACAAACGAUAUUGACACUAUUCAUAUCAAAUGAUCGGUGAAGAUAAAUCAGGUGAGCAAGAUUUGGUUAUUCAUUUCUUAACGUAAAAUGUUGUAGUAUUUUUAUGAACAUACCUCGACACCCAAAAAAUUAUGGCCUCUUCAUUUUUAAUUUGACGUACUAUCGGUGUUUUUUAGAAGAGCAGAGCUAACUAAGCUAGUUAGGAGCUGUUUAUAAUUAGAAUUAGUGAAUAACAUACUUAACCAACCACACGAUGGAACCAAUUUAUCAGUGAAGUGGUGAUUUAUCUUAAAAACCUUUUUUGUUCGCCUAGGGCGCAGAGUUAAAGAUAAGCGCUUAUAUAUGCAACUUGACAAUGACAAUGUUUGCAGUGAAACAUCUCAGCCAAUAGCCGCAUUAAAAGGCAAACUGCACAAUUCAUAAUGAGGCAGAAAUGUUCAUUAUUCACAGGAGUGUCGCUGUUGGUAGGUUAUAUAAUUUUAAAUCAACAAAGAUAUCAAUAUGAUUUUUACAUAAGGUACUUAUCAAUCAUAACACACCAUUGUAGGUUAAUUAUUUGUUUAAAAGUAUAUUAGCGUUUCAAUUCAUAACUUUGUUAUUAUUGUAUAAUUUCAUUUUAUCAAACUACAAUUACCGGUAAGAAACAGUGUCUGUAGGUACGCUAGGUAGAAGUAUGUAUGAACAAAACAGACAUGUAUGUAAUUCUUUAGUUUUGCUGUGAGAUAGCUAUGGUAUUGACAAACAACAACAGAAUCUCUGCCUGGAUGGAGAUCCAUUAUUCCAUAUAGUUACCACAACAAUAUGGAAAUUAUUCCAUAUUGCCAUAUCCAUUAGGAUGUUAUACUUAAGCUUAAAAUAAAAGAUGAUAUAGGUUGAUUCAAUGAGUAUAUUAAUUGAAACUGUGUUCUUUUCAGGUUGUGAGUAUUCCAUCAUCAGCUAUUUGUCCGGAGCUGGCUACACAAUCCGGAGGCCACACUCUUCUGGCAUCUAACCGGCCUGCACACCGCCAUCAAAUGAAGUUGGUUGUACUGAAAUAAAGAAAAAAUAUUAACUAGUUUAAUGAUUGUCAAAUGUAAUAAAAUUGUUUUAUUUAAGUGGGUUGUUUGAUUUCCCUAAAUUAACACAUGAAAUAUGUUGAUAUGUUAUAAUAAAAAUCUCAGUUAAAAACUCA
Molecule: long non-coding RNA, 1654 nt
Organism: Cydia fagiglandana
Lineage: Eukaryota; Metazoa; Arthropoda; Insecta; Lepidoptera; Tortricidae
Exons: 2
Source: RefSeq, a predicted model, not a curated record